This 409-nucleotide ribosomal RNA is filed under the name uncultured bacterium. RNAcentral describes it as "bacterial SSU rRNA". It matches the Rfam family "Bacterial small subunit ribosomal RNA", at positions 32 to 419 of the family's 1533-position model. The record is from RNAcentral.
AAUCAACGCUGGCGGCGUGCCUCAGACAUGCAAGUCGAACGAGAAAGUCCCCUUCGGGGGAGUAAGUAAAGUGGCGCACGGGUGAGUAACACGUAGGUAAUCUACCUUCGGGUGGGGAAGUAACCCAGGGAAACUUGGGCUAACACCGCAUAAUGCAGCGGCACCACAUGGUGACAGUUGUUAAAGCGGGGGAGUUUUCGACCUCGCGCCUGAAGAGGAGCCUGCGGCGGAUUAGCUAGUUGGUAAGGAACGGCUUACCAAGGCAACGAUCCGUAGCCGGCCUGAGAGGGCGGUCGGCCACACUGACACUGACAUACGGGUCAGACUCCUACGGGAGGCAGCAGUGGGGAAUCUUGCGCAAUGGGCGAAAGCCUGACGCAGCGACGCCGCGUGAGGGAUGACGGCCUGG